RNAcentral lists this small RNA (319 nucleotides) under Arabidopsis thaliana (thale cress). RNAcentral describes it as "ATSL141940". The record is from RNAcentral. Lineage: Eukaryota; Viridiplantae; Streptophyta; Magnoliopsida; Brassicales; Brassicaceae.
AUUCUUUAAUUUAUAUUUUUUGAUCGCUAAAUUGUUCGUUUGCAUGUCGUUGGAUCCAGCGACUAAAACCAGCGACUAAUCGCUGAAAUCAGCGACUGAUCGCUAAAAAUUUCAGCGACCAAAAAUUGCGGUCGCUGGUCGCUGGCGAUUGUCGUUACUUUUGAUCGCUAUGCAAACAAACAACUUUUGGUCGUUGUCGCUGGUUUCAGUCGUCAGCGACAGGCAAACGAACACAGACAAGCAAACGAACACAGGCAAACGAACAGGACCCUAAUUUACCAAAAUGAAACAAAAUAUAAUUAUCCAUGUCCAAAAAGAA